GACUUCUUCCCGCGGGCAACGCGCAGGUUGUCGAUCUCCC
This 40-nucleotide small RNA is filed under the name Sinorhizobium meliloti 2011. Its description in RNAcentral is "putative ncRNA". Lineage: Bacteria; Pseudomonadati; Pseudomonadota; Alphaproteobacteria; Hyphomicrobiales; Rhizobiaceae. The record is from RNAcentral.